UACAGAGGGGGCAAGCGUUGUUCGGAAUUACUGGGCGUAAAGGGCGCGUAGGUGGCCUUCUAAGUUGAACGUGAAAUCCCUGGGCUCAACCCAGGAACUGCGUCCAAGACUGGGAGGCUUGAAUCCGGGAGAGGGAUGCGGAAUUCCAGGUGUAGCGGUGAAAUGCGUAGAUAUCAUUUGGAACGCCAAUGGUGAAAACAGGUUGCUGGGAGUGUGCUGACGCUGAGACACGAAAGCCAGGGGAGCGAACGGG
Molecule: ribosomal RNA, 253 nt
Filed under: uncultured bacterium
Lineage: Bacteria
Description: partial 16S ribosomal RNA
Rfam family: Bacterial small subunit ribosomal RNA
Source: RNAcentral